This 497-nucleotide ribosomal RNA is filed under the name uncultured bacterium. RNAcentral's name for it is "partial 16S ribosomal RNA". It matches the Rfam family "Bacterial small subunit ribosomal RNA", at positions 29 to 523 of the family's 1533-position model. The record is from RNAcentral.
UUGAACGCUGGCGGCAGGCCUAACACAUGCAAGUCGAGCGGCAGCGCGGGGCAACCUGGCGGCGAGCGGCGGACGGGUGAGUAACGCGUAGGAAUCUACCCAGUAGCGGGGGAUAGUCCGGGGAAACUCGGAUUAAUACCGCAUACGCCCUAAGGGGGAAAGCAGGGGAUCGUAAGACCUUGCACUAUUGGAAGAGCCUGCGUUGGAGUAGCUAGUUGGAAGGGUAAACGCCGACCAAGGCGACGAUCCAUAACUGGGCUGAGAGAAUGAUCAGUCACGCCGGAACUGAGACAGGGUCCGGACUCCUACGGGAGGCAGCAGUGGGGAAUAUUGGACAAUGGGGGCAACCCUGGUCCAGCCAUGCCGCGUGUGUGAAGAAGGCCUUCGGGUUGUAAAGCACUUUAAGUGGGGAGAAAGGUUCGCUGGCUAAUAUCCAGCGGAAUUGAUGCUACCCACAGAAUAAGCACCGGCUAACUCUGUGCCAGCAGCCGCCGUAA